GAUGAACGCUGGCGGCGUGCCUAAUACAUGCAAGUCGAGCGAACAGACGAGGAGCUUGCUCCUCUGACGUUAGCGGCGGACGGGUGAGUAACACGUGGAUAACCUACCUAUAAGACUGGGAUAACUUCGGGAAACCGGAGCUAAUACCGGAUAAUAUAUUGAACCGCAUGGUUCAAUAGUGAAGGACGGUUUUGCUGUCACUUAUAGAUGGAUCUGCGCCGCAUUAGCUAGUUGGUAAGGUAACGGCUUACCAAGGCAACGAUGCGUAGCCGACCUGAGAGGGUGAUCGGCCACACUGGAACUGAGACACGGUCCAGACUCCUACGGGAGGCAGCAGUAGGGAAUCUUCCGCAAUGGGCGAAAGCUUGACGGAGCAACGCCGCGUGAGUGAUGAAGGUCUUCGGAUCGUAAAACUCUGUUAUUAGGGAAGAACAAAUGUGUAAGUAACUAUGCACGUCUUGACGGUACCUAAUCAGAAAGCCACGGCUAACUACGUG
Molecule: ribosomal RNA, 497 nt
Filed under: uncultured bacterium
Lineage: Bacteria
Description: partial 16S ribosomal RNA
Rfam family: Bacterial small subunit ribosomal RNA
Source: RNAcentral